ACACCCGGUUUAUUGCUGUUGUAGGGUUGGCACAGCUUAGCUUUGUUCAAUUUUUCGUACAACGGAGCCUGUAAAAUAUCUGCUGCACCAGGUUGAACACCUUGCCUGGCCUGGCUUUGGCCGCUUUCGCGAUGCGCUGGAAGGCCCUGUCUACGGCCAUUUCGCCGGCCGCGAGGGCGA
This 180-nucleotide small RNA is filed under the name Pseudomonas aeruginosa. Its description in RNAcentral is "P1". Lineage: Bacteria; Pseudomonadati; Pseudomonadota; Gammaproteobacteria; Pseudomonadales; Pseudomonadaceae. The record is from RNAcentral.